This 66-nucleotide transfer RNA is filed under the name Drosophila antonietae. RNAcentral describes it as "tRNA-Asn". RNAcentral also lists the same sequence under 1 other name. The record is from RNAcentral. Lineage: Eukaryota; Metazoa; Arthropoda; Insecta; Diptera; Drosophilidae.
UUAAUUGAAGCCAAAAAGAGGCUUAUCACUGUUAAUGAUAUAAUUGAGAAUUAUUCUCCAAUUAAG